This 1262-nucleotide ribosomal RNA is filed under the name Vibrio vulnificus. RNAcentral's name for it is "partial 23S ribosomal RNA". It matches the Rfam family "Bacterial large subunit ribosomal RNA", at positions 1567 to 2812 of the family's 2925-position model. Lineage: Bacteria; Pseudomonadati; Pseudomonadota; Gammaproteobacteria; Vibrionales; Vibrionaceae. The record is from RNAcentral.
CGUCGAGCUACUACGGUAGUGAAGUCAUUGAUGCCAUGCUUCCAGGAAAAGCCUCUAAGCUUCAGAUUGUAAGGAAUCGUACCCCAAACCGACACAGGUGGUCGGGUAGAGAAUACCAAGGCGCUUGAGAGAACUCGGGUGAAGGAACUAGGCAAAAUGGUACCGUAACUUCGGGAGAAGGUACGCUCUUGAUGGUGAAGUCCCUUGCGGAUGGAGCUGACGAGAGUCGCAGAUACCAGGUGGCUGCAACUGUUUAUUAAAAACACAGCACUGUGCAAAAUCGUAAGAUGACGUAUACGGUGUGACGCCUGCCCGGUGCCGGAAGGUUAAUUGAUGGGGUUAGCGUAAGCGAAGCUCUUGAUCGAAGCCCCGGUAAACGGCGGCCGUAACUAUAACGGUCCUAAGGUAGCGAAAUUCCUUGUCGGGUAAGUUCCGACCUGCACGAAUGGCGUAAUGAUGGCCACGCUGUCUCCACCCGAGACUCAGUGAAAUUGAAAUCGCUGUGAAGAUGCAGUGUACCCGCGGCUAGACGGAAAGACCCCGUGAACCUUUACUACAGCUUGGCACUGAACAUUGAACCUACAUGUGUAGGAUAGGUGGGAGGCUUUGAAGACGUGACGCCAGUUGCGUUGGAGCCGUCCUUGAAAUACCACCCUUGUAUGUUUGAUGUUCUAACGUUGGCCCCUAAUCGGGGUUGCGGACAGUGCCUGGUGGGUAGUUUGACUGGGGCGGUCUCCUCCCAAAGAGUAACGGAGGAGCACGAAGGUGGGCUAAUCACGGUUGGACAUCGUGAGGUUAGUGCAAUGGCAUAAGCCCGCUUAACUGCGAGAAUGACGGUUCGAGCAGGUGCGAAAGCAGGUCAUAGUGAUCCGGUGGUUCUGAAUGGAAGGGCCAUCGCUCAACGGAUAAAAGGUACUCCGGGGAUAACAGGCUGAUACCGCCCAAGAGUUCAUAUCGACGGCGGUGUUUGGCACCUCGAUGUCGGCUCAUCACAUCCUGGGGCUGAAGUCGGUCCCAAGGGUAUGGCUGUUCGCCAUUUAAAGUGGUACGCGAGCUGGGUUUAGAACGUCGUGAGACAGUUCGGUCCCUAUCUGCCGUGGGCGUUGGAAGAUUGAAGGGGGCUGCUCCUAGUACGAGAGGACCGGAGUGGACGAACCUCUGGUGUUCGGGUUGUGUCGCCAGACGCAUUGCCCGGUAGCUAAGUUCGGAAUCGAUAACCGCUGAAAGCAUCUAAGCGGGAAGCGAGCCCUGAGAUGAGUCUU